This is a long non-coding RNA of Cynoglossus semilaevis (tongue sole), 1995 nucleotides long. RefSeq lists it as uncharacterized. NCBI's taxonomy places the organism in Eukaryota, Metazoa, Chordata, Actinopteri, Pleuronectiformes, Cynoglossidae. The transcript has 5 exons. The record is from RefSeq and is a predicted model, not a curated record.
CAUUUUUCUUGUGGUUUUUCUUAGAUAGGUUUAGCAUAAGAUUUAAAAUCUUUGUUUUGAAAUAAACUUGAAUUUGAACCUUGUUUAUUAACAGUCACAUGAGGCGUGUGUGAGUCUGCAGGAUUUUUAAGUACAUGGUUAUUAAAAAAAUAUCCAUAAGGUUUUAAUUUGCUGCUACUAACAAGUUAAAAAAAGACAGAUAUUUCUACUUUGCAUCAAUAAAGCAUGUUUUAUUGAAACAGGACAUUUUUUUAACGAUGUUAUUUCUCAACAUAUAAGUCAAAUGAAAAAAAAAAUUGGAAUAUGGUACAGAUUCAUAUGAAAACAACUCAUUCACCAACAGGUUCAAAUCAAACAGCCACUCGUCACACACGUCCAACCACGACCUGGUUACUAAGGUGAUCAUGUCCGUCCUUUCUCCAGUUUUUUUAUUUUUAAAUAAACUACUUCAGUUUUGGCCCACUGCUUUUACAUUACAAGCCCUUCCUGCACAAUGUUUUAAAUUGAGCAAAACAUAACAACAGUUCUACACAAUUGACAAAUGAUGGAAAAUGAUGAUUUAAUGUUCAUAUAAAUGUGUAUCACAUCUGCUAACAUGUCAGGUUGCUGUUUUUAUUUUAUUUUUUUUUUCAAACUUGUCCUUUUGUACAGUCAGUAACACUCUAGUCUGACUUCCUGGUGUACUUCAGUAUUUGAAGACUUUAUUGUUUUAUGUAGAAAUAAAAUACCUGGACAAUACUUUGUAAAAGUACUAAAAGUGAAUACAUUUAAAAUGUCUGCCUAUUUUAGCUGUUUAUUUUCAAAUAUUUAAAGGGAACGUAAAUGAAAAAAAACCCCAGAUCAUUCUAUAGCCUCGUUCGUGCUUGAUGCUAACUACCUCUUUAGCCUCGUUCGUGUUCGAUGCUAACUUUAUUUAUUUAUUUUUUAUUUAUUGUGUAGGAUCCUAACUACUUCUUUAGCCUCGUUCGUGUUCGAUGCUAACUCUAUUUAUUUAUUUUAUUUAUUGUGUAGGAUGCUAACUACUACUUUAGCCUCGUUCAUGAUCGAUGCUAAUCACACGGCUAACGGAUACGUAUUGUGUGAAAUGGAGCGGCACGACUUGAACUCGUGGGGGCAGUGUUGUGCAGUUUCGUUGAUGUACGCCCAAAAAAUGACUAUCACGAAGAAGAAAAGAAACGGAAAAAUGGUUUGGACCUAAGAGAUUUCUCCGUCCACCUGCUGCUCUGGGGUUUUUGUCCACACGGGCGUUCGGACGUCUUUCUGAGCAGGAACGUUUCCACCACCGCCACCAUGUUCGUUAUCGUUCGAGAAAACUCAUGUUUGGCCGAAUAUGAACACCGAACACUGCACUGCCCUCUAACGGAUGUUUGGCUAACUAACCAUGCUAACACUCACUUGGUGACAGUGGCGUUCGAAGCAACUAUUUAGUAAGUUACUAUAGACGAAAAGAAGAAGAAACGAGGCUUCAGUGACACUUAACUUUUUCCCGGAUACGUGACUUCAUAACGACAACGGCAUCACUACUUCUGGAAGCCACCAGAGGUCAAACCACCAUGGGUUCCCUUUUAUGUGAACAAGUUUUCUCAAAUGAACUCCACCUCUCCACUCAUGUCUGUGGACGUCUGUCUCAGCGUUAGCCGGUGGACGGUGCCCAUCUUCUCCAGCCGGACCCUGGAGCUGGCCUGCAGGAGUUCACCUUUCAGAGUCCACACCGGAGCUUUGACCACAGGGGCGGACAGCUCACAUUCAAAGGUGGCGUCAUCGGGGGCCAAGACCUCCACGUCUGUCAGCUCUCUGACCAUCAGCACGGACUGUAAGGCUGGAACAGAAAGACAAACAUCCGCAGAAGUCUGAGGAAGAGCCAUCCAUCUGAUGAAGAGCAGCCUGGAGUUCAGCCAAUAAAAAACUGUGGCCUGGAGCCAACGUCUGCCCCUGGUGGUCAACUAAGAGGUAACAGUUGAUCCUACUACAACAUGGGAGACGGACCUUUUUAUG